Molecule: unclassified non-coding RNA, 229 nt
Filed under: Lilium concolor var. strictum
Lineage: Eukaryota; Viridiplantae; Streptophyta; Magnoliopsida; Liliales; Liliaceae
Description: ITS 1
Source: RNAcentral
UCGAUAAUCGAUUGAGAGACCGUGAACCUGUAAACAGAUGAUACCGUGUUGGGCAGGCAUUAUGCCCGCCCAACUCGGGACCUCGCAUCGUGUCCGUGGCUGCCUUUGAGCAUUUCAGGCAUGAUUUGUGGGGGACGAACGAAACCCUGGCAUAGCCUGUGCCAAGGAACAUAUGUCAGGAUGGACGUUCGUCAAUGCCUCAGUGGUGGGGCGAUGUUUGCUCUCUAUC